Molecule: long non-coding RNA, 369 nt
Organism: Amphimedon queenslandica
Lineage: Eukaryota; Metazoa; Porifera; Demospongiae; Haplosclerida; Niphatidae
Exons: 2
Source: RefSeq, a predicted model, not a curated record
GCGUGUUAACCAGUAGAGAUGGCGAUAAAGCAGAGCUACUAGCCUUGAGUGUGUUUAAGCUUCAUGCAUGUCAGUGUUCUUGGUGGAGAUCAAGAGCUCAUCAAAUCCAAGGAGUCUUUCCAAUCUUAUUAUUGAUAGGACCAAACAAGAGGGAUCUGAUACUGAGGACCAAACAAGGAGGAUCAGAUAGCCCCAGGCUCAAGGAAUGGCUCAGAGAGACUCGAUAAAGAAAAAGGCAUCGUAUAACUGGUCACUCUUUUUUUACCAUUAGCAAUUGCAUGUUUCGACGGUUUUAAUGCCUGUACUAGUGACUAUGAUGUUCUUAAUUGUUGAAUGAAAUUGCAGUAUACCGAAAUCAUGUUAGUGGAA